This 468-nucleotide long non-coding RNA is filed under the name Sparus aurata (gilthead seabream). RNAcentral's name for it is "lncRNA (ENSSAUG00010012363.1)". The record is from RNAcentral. Lineage: Eukaryota; Metazoa; Chordata; Actinopteri; Spariformes; Sparidae.
CGGUUGAGAAAAUGUAGUGCCAAAAGAAAGCGCGGUCUGACAGUGAUGUAAAGUGGUGUGAAUUUUACCUAUACAACGUACACUUGAACUGUUAUAGAUUUUUUUUUAGGUGAGCCUUGUUUUAGGUGUCUAAUUUCGCUUUUUCUCUGGACCCCGUUCACUGCAGUACAAAGCUGAGCGUCUGGGCUUAAAGUAUAUGAUCUGUCACUAAUUGCUCUCCAUUCUUUUUCAGAGGCAGUUUAAACAAGGACAGUGAUCCCUGGAGCAGGCUGUUGAGCCGUGUGCCACAGCCGCUGAUGUGCAGAGGACAGUGACGUUACCAAGCACCCCCUGCUUGAUUGUCCAAGGUACUGUUGAUAUCUGGAUUUUAUAUUGAUAUUUCGAGCUGUAUGUGGUUAUUUUAAAAAUGAACAAAAAAUUCACUACAUGAUCAUUUCACAUAAUUUGUUUAUUAGUCUUUUUAAAGGC